UCCCUGAUGGUCCAGUGGUUAGGACUCUGUGCUUCCACAGCAGGGGGCCUGGGUUUGAUCCCUGGUCAGGGAA
Molecule: non-coding RNA, 73 nt
Organism: Bubalus bubalis (water buffalo)
Lineage: Eukaryota; Metazoa; Chordata; Mammalia; Artiodactyla; Bovidae
Source: the annotation of a RefSeq genome assembly